AACGAACGCUGGCGGCAUGCCUAACACAUGCAAGUCGAACGGGAUCCUGGCUUCGGUCAGGUGAGAGUGGCGGACGGGUGAGUAACGCGUGGGAACCUGCCCAGUGGUGGGGGAUAACUGCGGGAAACUGCAGCUAAUACCGCAUGAGCCCGAGAGGGGAAAGAUUUAUCGCCAUUGGAGGGGCCCGCGUUCGAUUAGGUAGUUGGUGAGGUAAUGGCUCACCAAGCCGACGAUCGAUAGCUGGUCUGAGAGGAUGAUCAGCCACACUGGGACUGAGAUACGGCCCAGACUCCUACGGGAGGCAGCAGUGGGGAAUAUUGGACAAUGGGGGCAACCCUGAUCCAGCAAUGCCGCGUGAGUGAUGAAGGCCUCGGGUUGUAAAGCUCUUUUGCCAGGGACGAUGAUGACGGUACCUGGAGAAUAAGCCCCGGCUAACUUCGUGCCAGCAGCCGCGGUAAUACGAAGGGGGCAAGCGUUGUUCGGAAUUACUGGGCGUAAAGGGCGCGUAGGCGGCUUAUCAAGUCAGGCGUGAAAUUCCGGGCUCAACCUGGGGGCUGCGCUUGAUACUGAUGAGCUUGAAUGCGGGAGAGGAUAGUGGAAUUCCCAGUGUAGAGGUGAAAUUCGUAGAUAUUGGGAAGAACACCGGUGGCGGAAGCGGCUAUCUGGCCCGUGAUUGACGCUGAGGCGCGAAAGCGUGGGGAGCAAACAGGAUUAGAUA
This 718-nucleotide ribosomal RNA is filed under the name uncultured bacterium. RNAcentral describes it as "bacterial SSU rRNA". It matches the Rfam family "Bacterial small subunit ribosomal RNA", at positions 28 to 784 of the family's 1533-position model. The record is from RNAcentral.